UGAAUCCUUUGCAGACGACUUAAAUACGCGACGGGGUAUUGUAAGGGGUAGAGUGGCCUUGCUGCCACGAUCCUCUGAGAUUAGCCCUUUGUCGCUCCGAUUCGU
This 105-nucleotide non-coding RNA is filed under the name Ipomoea nil (Japanese morning glory). RNAcentral describes it as "Eukaryotic large subunit ribosomal RNA". It matches the Rfam family "Eukaryotic large subunit ribosomal RNA", at positions 3295 to 3401 of the family's 3401-position model. The record is from Rfam by way of RNAcentral. Lineage: Eukaryota; Viridiplantae; Streptophyta; Magnoliopsida; Solanales; Convolvulaceae.